RNAcentral lists this transfer RNA (69 nucleotides) under Comatella nigra. RNAcentral describes it as "tRNA-His". It matches the Rfam family "tRNA". From Rfam's summary of the family: Transfer RNA (tRNA) molecules are approximately 80 nucleotides in length. Their secondary structure includes four short double-helical elements and three loops (D, anti-codon, and T loops). The record is from RNAcentral. Lineage: Eukaryota; Metazoa; Echinodermata; Crinoidea; Comatulida; Comatulidae.
GAAAAAAUAAUUAAAAUAUAAUAAUAGUUUGUGGAACUAAUUUUAUUGGUUAAAAUCCAAUUUUUUUCC